RNAcentral lists this transfer RNA (65 nucleotides) under Mendozana platypleura. RNAcentral's name for it is "tRNA-Leu". It matches the Rfam family "tRNA". From Rfam's summary of the family: Transfer RNA (tRNA) molecules are approximately 80 nucleotides in length. Their secondary structure includes four short double-helical elements and three loops (D, anti-codon, and T loops). Further hydrogen bonds mediate the characteristic L-shaped molecular structure. tRNAs have two regions of fundamental functional importance: the anti-codon, which is responsible for specific mRNA codon recognition, and the 3' end, to which the tRNAs corresponding amino acid is attached (by aminoacyl-tRNA synthetases). tRNAs cope with the degeneracy of the genetic code in two manners: having more than one tRNA (with a specific anti-codon) for a particular amino acid; and 'wobble' base-pairing, i.e. permitting non-standard base-pairing at the 3rd anti-codon position. Lineage: Eukaryota; Metazoa; Arthropoda; Insecta; Hemiptera; Cicadidae. The record is from RNAcentral.
ACUAUUUUAGCAAAUUAGUGCAUUAAAUUUAGAAUUUAAAAAAGUGAUUAUAAUCUCAAAUAGUA